RNAcentral lists this ribosomal RNA (505 nucleotides) under uncultured bacterium. Its description in RNAcentral is "partial 16S ribosomal RNA". It matches the Rfam family "Bacterial small subunit ribosomal RNA", at positions 28 to 507 of the family's 1533-position model. The record is from RNAcentral.
GACGAACGCUGGCGGCGUGCCUAAUACAUGCAAGUAGAACGCACAGUUUAUACCGUAGCUUGCUACACCAUAGACUGUGAGUUGCGAACGGGUGAGUAACGCGUAGGUAACCUGCCUGGUAGCGGGGGAUAACUAUUGGAAACGAUAGCUAAUACCGCAUAAUAUUUAUUAUUGCAUGAUAAUUAAUUGAAAGGUGCAAUUGCACCACUACCAGAUGGACGUGCGUUGUAUUAGCUAGUAGGUGAGGUCACGGCUCACCUAGGCGACGAUACAUAGCCGACCUGAGUGGGUGCUCGGCCACACUGGGACUGAGACAACGCCCCGGCUGCUACGGGAGGCAGCAGUAGGGAAUCUUCGGCAAUGGACGAAAGUCUGACCGAGCAACGCCGCGUGAGUGAAGAAGGUUUUCGGCUCGUAAAGCUCUGUUGUAAGAGAAGAACGGGUGUGAGAGUGGAAAGUUCACACUGUGACGGUAUCUUACCAGAAAGGGACGGCUAACUACGUG